UGGAAAAACCCUUGUGUGAAGAGUGCUGGGGACUGAUUUUUAUAAAGCCCUCUCCUGACCCGGACCAGUUCCAUUCCUCCUACUGGAGCUUCGCAGAGCCCUGAUGGGGUACAGUUCCUGGCGUUGUGCAGCGGCGAAACUGACUCUUAGAAAGGUUGAGGAACUUGCCCAGGGUCACACAGCUGGGGAGUGGUCGAGCUAGGAUUUUAACCCAAGUCGUCCGGCCUCCAAAAGCCAGAUUCUCUUCGACAUUAGCGCCGCACCCCCAGGGCGGAGGACUGCGUUCCCUAACACCUCAGACACAACUAAGGUGCCUUGGGUGUGAUUGAAAGACGCGAACGCGGGCCACCCAUCUCUGGCUGAUGGGUGGCUGCGCCUGCAGCCCCCGCAGAGGCUGAGCGUCGGCGGGAGCCGCUCGGGCUGUUACCGUAAGUCUCAGAGGAGCGGGGCACAACGGGAAAGGUAACGAAGAGCAGGACGGGCCGGAGGGCGCCGCGACGUGGAGAGACUGCGUUCCCGGCUCGGAAGCCUGACCUUGAAGGAGUGAGGGUGCGCACGCGCCCGAGGCAAGUCAGCCUUACUGUUCUUGGAAAGAAUUAGAAGAGGAAAGAAAGGUCACCGCUUUAAAAAUAGGCAUGGAAAGAGCCAAAGGAACCCGGAUCCAGGAUGUAACUCUGCCCUGGUCUUCGGCCCUGAGGAAGGGGUCUGUACUUUCACAAGCGGCAACAGCCAGGCGAUGAUUUUCAUCUUAAAUACAGCCCAUCAGCAACUGAAGAACCACAUGACCUCCAAAAAUUGACCAGUCUUCUUUGGAUUCCUUCCUUCCAUCACAGCCCUCAUUUUUCCCCCCGCAUAGGCAGCGGAAAAAAGGAAAAGCUCAUGUGCUCAGUCUCUAAGGAAUUUGUUUUACCUGCGCAGUGAUAACAUCUCGGUGAGAUAUUGUGGAGGGGUUGUGAAGAAGGCAAACGAGAAGUUUCCCGGGAGAUAGAAUGGCGACGAACAAGCCUUUCUCAGAAGACCAGUUGCAAAAAACAGCCAACUCUUCUGAUUCUAUUCUGUUCUCAAUUUGCUGUGAGACUUUGAGUGAGCUAUUAAACAUCUUGGACCUUAUUAAAAGGGGGUGGUAAUUUCACGUAGAGUGGGUGUUGCUAAGCCUUCUUGAUUUUGAAUCCAAACUCAGCCUCUCUCACCAAAAAAAAAAAAAAAAAAAAAAAAAAGUGUAGCUUUUGUAAGCUGUUCACUUACUGCUGGGGAGGUAAAGGGAUAUGUCUGAAGAGCUAUUGCAGUUAUAGAUAGAUAUUCCAUAUGCCAACUUAACAUAAAUGCCUCAAACUUUUAUUUCCUUGAUGGAGAAACAUCAGGAUCUCUGGCCUGUUUUACAUGCUUUAGCCUUGGGUGGGAAAUGCCCCGAAGUAAAAUAAGAGGCUAUUUCAGAAGUAUUCCUCCUUUCCCACACCACUUAUUAUCUCUAACAACUCAUUUUCCAUCCACCGUGUUUCCCUGUACUGGUUUUAUGGUAGGGGAGUCUCCACCACUGUGGGCCCUCUGCUAGUCUAGCCAAUUCUUUCUGGCUCCCCAGUGAAACAUGGAGGACAAAGCUCAACAUGAUGACAGGACUGGCCAUGUGAUGUGGCUGUUACUUUUCUGGUUUCCAUCUACCCUGCAGGUGGCAAGUUUGAAGGUUUGGGGAAAUUCCCUGACGGCUGAGAUGCGCCAAUUUCCAAUGGGACCAGAUUAGCACAUUCAACUAUAAUUGCCAUCGUACUGACAAGGUCAAUUUUCAGGCUGUGCAUGAGGAUGAGAACAGCUACCCACAGGUCUGUAAAGUUUCAUACACAAGAACCCAGCACCUGAAAACUGAAACUAAGAUGCAUGCCAGCCCCUAUGGAUUACUCUCUCCAUUCCAUAGGUAUAGAUGGAGGCAAGAGAUGUUUGGCUGGUCUGACCAAUGACCACUAGGUCGAAAGCCCAAGAGCCCAGCCCCCUCACCUAUUCCAGCCAAGCCCAGAGGACCUGAUGCUCUGUCAAGUUCAAAGAAAGAAGCCAGUGGUCUGUAUAAUCCAGAGUUCUGUUUGUCCAAAAGAACUUUGAAGACGGAAAAACAAACAAAAAAACAGACAAAACCUCUUCGGAGGCAAUUUUGCCAUUUAUGAAUUUACAGGUGUUAUUUCGUUUGUCCCCUCAGUCUCCCGUUUGGAAUUUUUUCCUACGCGAUGCAUUAAAAAAAUGUUUACUACGUCAUUUUUGUGAUGAUGAAAAAGUGGGAACAACCCAACUGUUCAUCAAUAUAUAGAGAUAAAAUGGUUGAAUAUAUAGUGCGUUUACAUACCCAGAAAUACUCUAUAGAAGAGAUCUGUGUUCACAGGCAAAUGAGUCUAAGCUUAUGUUAAAUGAAAAAAAGUAAGUUAUGAAAGUAAAUGUGCUAUGAUUCCACAUUCAUUAAAAUGCAGAAAGAGAUUGUAA
Molecule: long non-coding RNA, 2463 nt
Organism: Prionailurus viverrinus (fishing cat)
Lineage: Eukaryota; Metazoa; Chordata; Mammalia; Carnivora; Felidae
Exons: 4
Source: RefSeq, a predicted model, not a curated record